AACCUCUGCCCUCCAGGUUCAAAGGAUUUUCCUGCCUCAGCCUCCUGAGUAGCUGGAAUUACGGCUUCAGAUCCAAAUGGUAUGCUAGCAUUCUCUUCCUAGCAGUCCACUGUCAAGACUUCACUGUUAGAAGAAGAAUCACACCAGAAUUAAGGUCAAAUGGAUUAUCUUAUUCUUAAUUGCUGAAAAUCACACCUCAUUGAAAUUUGCUUCAUAACUGAACCAUGAAUUUUUCAUCAAACAUACUUUUGUGUUUCUCCUCCUGGCAUUCUUUAUGAGGAACUUCUUUUUGGAGCUCACUGACUUCCUGUUCUAAUUUGGUCCAGUUAUUUUCUAGAAUUGCUACAUGACUGUCAUCCUGGGACAUCCUUCUGUUGGAAUCUGGGAGAGCUUACAACUUUUCAUAUCCUCUCUUCUUCUUUGUGUUUUUCACCCUGAAGUGUACAAAGUCAAAUGAAUUUCCUAG
Molecule: long non-coding RNA, 466 nt
Filed under: Homo sapiens (human)
Lineage: Eukaryota; Metazoa; Chordata; Mammalia; Primates; Hominidae
Description: long intergenic non-protein coding RNA 2235
Source: RNAcentral